UCUCUCUCUGUCUCUCUCUCUCUCUCACACACAAACAACAUACAAAAAUAUGAGCAGAUAAUAUCAUACUACGAUCUCUCUCUUUCUCUCUCUCCCCAGAAAAACAGCAUUCAAAUUUUUGAGCAGAAAAAUCAUACCAUAAUCUUGUUUCUUCGAAAAGCUUCACUUGAGAUGCAGAGAAGGCUAAAAAGAGAAAAGAGGAUACGUGUGUAAAAAAUGCGGGUUCGGUCAAGAAAAUAAAGAAAGCUAAGAUCUUGUUAGACUUGUAAUAUGGGACAGCCAUGAUGACCAGAAACAAGGUAUUUAAGAUUAAAAGUUCAAACCUUUGUCCAGAAAUGGUAGUUUUAGCUUAGAUACACACACUGACACACACACACUACUUGAAGAAACCAGUGUCUAUAUAGACUACCGCGUUGCUGUAAUGAGCUUUUGGUAGUUGGCUUGGCGCACGUCAAUUAUUACAAAUUUUACCAUCUUUGUAGUAAUUUUCACAAUAUUUAUACUCCCUCCGUCCCCCUGAGUUGUAUACAUUGGGGGACG
RNAcentral lists this long non-coding RNA (540 nucleotides) under Daucus carota (carrot). RNAcentral describes it as "long non-coding RNA (DCAR_LNC006898)". Lineage: Eukaryota; Viridiplantae; Streptophyta; Magnoliopsida; Apiales; Apiaceae. The record is from RNAcentral.